UACGAAGGGGGCUAGCGUUGUUCGGAUUUACUGGGCGUAAAGCGCACGUAGGCGGAUCGAUCAGUCAGGGGUGAAAUCCUGGAGCUCAACUCCAGAACUGCCUUUGAUACUGGAGACCUUGAGUCCGGGAGAGGUGAGUGGAAUUGCGAGUGUAGAGGUGAAAUUCGUAGAUAUUCGCAAGAACACCAGUGGCGAAGGCGGCUCACUGGCCCGGAACUGACGCUGAGACGCGAAAGCGUGGGGAGCAAACAGG
Molecule: ribosomal RNA, 253 nt
Filed under: uncultured bacterium
Lineage: Bacteria
Description: partial 16S ribosomal RNA
Rfam family: Bacterial small subunit ribosomal RNA
Source: RNAcentral